GAGUUUGAUCCUGGCUCAGAACGAACGCUGGCGGCGUGCCUAACACAUGCAAGUCGAACGGAUUUGAGGGGCUUGCUCCUCAAGCUAGUGGCGCACGGGUGAGUAACGCGUAGAUAAUCUGCCUGAUGAUCUGGGAUAACACUUCGAAAGGGGUGCUAAUACCGGAUAAGCCCACGGGGUCUUUGGAUUCUGCGGGAAAAGGGGGGGACUUUCGGGCCUUCUGUCAUCAGAUGAGUCUGCGUACCAUUAGCUAGUUGGUAGGGUAAUGGCCUACCAAGGCUACGAUGGUUAGCUGGUUUGAGAGAAUGAUCAGCCACACUGGAACUGAGACACGGUCCAGACUCCUACGGGAGGCAGCAGUGGGGAAUUUUGCGCAAUGGGCGAAAGCCUGACGCARCAACGCCGCGUGAGUGAUGAAGGCUUUCGGGUCGUAAAGCUCUGUCGAGGGGAAAGAAGUGUAUUGUGGCUAAUAUCCACGAUACUUGACGGUACCCCUAAAGGAAGCACCGGCUAACUCCGUGCCAGCAGCCGCGGUAAUAC
This 540-nucleotide ribosomal RNA is filed under the name uncultured Geobacteraceae bacterium. RNAcentral's name for it is "bacterial SSU rRNA". It matches the Rfam family "Bacterial small subunit ribosomal RNA", at positions 9 to 526 of the family's 1533-position model. The record is from RNAcentral. Lineage: Bacteria; Pseudomonadati; Thermodesulfobacteriota; Desulfuromonadia; Geobacterales; Geobacteraceae.